UGGGGUGUAGGUCAACUGGCAGACCGCCCGGCUGUUAACCGGGAAGUUGGUGGUUCGAAUCCACCCGCCCCAGCCU
Molecule: transfer RNA, 76 nt
Filed under: Gemmatimonadota bacterium
Lineage: Bacteria; Pseudomonadati; Gemmatimonadota
Description: Gemmatimonadetes bacterium tRNA-Asn
Rfam family: tRNA
About the family: Transfer RNA (tRNA) molecules are approximately 80 nucleotides in length. Their secondary structure includes four short double-helical elements and three loops (D, anti-codon, and T loops). Further hydrogen bonds mediate the characteristic L-shaped molecular structure. tRNAs have two regions of fundamental functional importance: the anti-codon, which is responsible for specific mRNA codon recognition, and the 3' end, to which the tRNAs corresponding amino acid is attached (by aminoacyl-tRNA synthetases). tRNAs cope with the degeneracy of the genetic code in two manners: having more than one tRNA (with a specific anti-codon) for a particular amino acid; and 'wobble' base-pairing, i.e. permitting non-standard base-pairing at the 3rd anti-codon position.
Source: RNAcentral